GUCUACGGCUAUGCUACCCUGAACAAGCCUGACCUCAUGUGAUCUCAGAAGCUAAGCAGGGUCAGGCCUGGUUAGUACUUGGAUGGAAGACCACCUAGGAAGACCAGGUGCUGUAGUCA
RNAcentral lists this ribosomal RNA (119 nucleotides) under Pteropus alecto (black flying fox). The record is from RNAcentral. Lineage: Eukaryota; Metazoa; Chordata; Mammalia; Chiroptera; Pteropodidae.